GAUGAACGCUGGCGGCGUGCCUAAUACAUGCCAGUCGAGCGAACAGACGAGGAGCCUGCUCCUCUGACGUUAGCGGCGGACGGGUGAGUAACACGUGGAUAACCUACCUAUAAGACUGGGAUAACUUCGGGAAACCGGAGCUAAUACCGGAUAAUAUAUUGAACCGCAUGGUUCAAUAGUGAAAGACGGUUUUGCUGUCACUUAUAGAUGGAUCCGCGCCGCAUUAGCUAGUUGGUAAGGUAACGGCUUACCAAGGCAACGAUGCGUAGCCGACCUGAGAGGGUGAUCGGCCACACUGGAACUGAGACACGGUCCAGACUCCUACGGGAGGCAGCAGUAGGGAAUCUUCCGCAAUGGGCGAAAGCUUGACGGAGCAACGCCGCGUGAGUGAUGAAGGUCUUCGGAUCGUAAAACUCUGUUAUUAGGGAAGAACAAAUGUGUAAGUAACUAUGCACGUCUUGACGGUACCUAAUCAGAAAGCCACGGCUAACUACGUG
This 497-nucleotide ribosomal RNA is filed under the name uncultured bacterium. RNAcentral describes it as "partial 16S ribosomal RNA". It matches the Rfam family "Bacterial small subunit ribosomal RNA", at positions 28 to 507 of the family's 1533-position model. The record is from RNAcentral.